AAUACUGCCUGGUAAUGAUGAUU
This 23-nucleotide non-coding RNA is filed under the name Xenopus laevis (African clawed frog). The record is from RNAcentral. RNAcentral also lists the same sequence under 2 other names. Lineage: Eukaryota; Metazoa; Chordata; Amphibia; Anura; Pipidae.